This is a non-coding RNA of Pangasius djambal, 85 nucleotides long. The record is from the annotation of a GenBank genome assembly. Lineage: Eukaryota; Metazoa; Chordata; Actinopteri; Siluriformes; Pangasiidae.
GGCAUGGUGGCUUAGUGGUUAGCACUGUGGCCUUGCACCUAAAGGCCAUAUUGUGGGUUUGGGGGUUCAAAUCCCUCCUGCGUAU